This 368-nucleotide ribosomal RNA is filed under the name uncultured bacterium. Its description in RNAcentral is "partial 16S ribosomal RNA". It matches the Rfam family "Bacterial small subunit ribosomal RNA", at positions 338 to 698 of the family's 1533-position model. The record is from RNAcentral.
CCUACGGGUGGCAGCAGUGGGGAAUCUUGCUCAAUGGGCGAAAGUCUGACGCAGCGACGCCGCGUGAGGGAUGAAGGUCUUCGGAUCGUAAACCUCUGUCAGCAGGGAAGAACGGUCACUGUGCUAAUCAGCAGUGAAUUGACGGUACCUGCAAAGGAAGCACCGGCUAACUCCGUGCCAGCAGCACCGGUAAUACGGAGGGUGCGAGCGUUAAUCGGAAUUACUGGGCGUAAAGCGCUCGUAGGCGGUAUGUCAAGUCAAGGGUGAAUUCCCCUCGCUCAACGUGGGAACUGCCUUUGAAACGGGUAAACGGGAGAGUGUGGGAGGAUAGUGGAAUUUCAGGUGGAGGAGUGAAAUGCGUAGAGAUC